This is a long non-coding RNA of Hemicordylus capensis (graceful crag lizard), 3893 nucleotides long. RefSeq lists it as uncharacterized. The transcript is spliced from 2 exons. The record is from RefSeq and is a predicted model, not a curated record. NCBI's taxonomy places the organism in Eukaryota, Metazoa, Chordata, Lepidosauria, Squamata, Cordylidae.
GUUCUGCUAAGUCAAGGACAGCGGCCAACGCUGAAACCUGGUAUCUAAAGAUACUGGGACUAAGGAGAAGGCCUCUGCCGGCCUGAAGGAAGUCGAGGACAUCAGGAACCCCUGCAGUGAGUGAAUUUAAAUGCUUCCUGUGGGCCAAUCUACAGAAUGCUGCCCAUGUAGCCUGGAAGAUCUGCUGGGUGGACGGACUGUGAGAGACUAGGAUGGUAUCUUGGACCGGGGUCGAACACCCCUUGGCCGCUAGUCCAUUGCACUCAACAUCAAGGCACAGAGUUGGAGCCAUCCUGGCUCUGGAUGUAGAAUGGGCCCCUGAGAUAGAAGGUCCCUGUGUACUGGGAGACGCCAUGGGAGCUGUGUGAACAGGAUGAUUAGGUCAGAAAGCAAUGGCCUCCUGGUCCAUUGAGGGGCCACCAGGAUCAGGUGAGCCUGCUCUUUCUGGUGACCUGGUUGAUGAUGUCCGUUGGUGGAAAGGCGAAAGGGAGAUAUAGGAUGAUAGGAAGCGAUCAUAUACUGAGUCAGACCAUUGGUCUAUCUAGCUCAGUCUUGUCUUCACAGACUGGCAGUGGCUUCUCCAAGGUUGCAGGCAGGAAUCUCUCUCACCCCUAUCUUGGAGAUGCUAGGGAGGGAACUUGGAAUCUGGAUGCUCUUCCCAGAGCGGCUCCAUCCCCUGACCUUUGGGCCAAUUGGUGCUGAGGGCAUCGGUGGCUUCUGCCACUGGAGAGUGGUAUUUUGAGAAGAAGUGCAGGAGCUGGUGAUUCAGAGGAGAGGCGAAAAGAUCCACUAGAGGCUCACCCAGGUGUGCUGUGAUCAGCUGGAAGACCUCUGGAUGGAGGGUCCAUUCUGCCGGGUCCACCAUCCUUCGACUGAGCCAGUUGGUUUGAUUGUUCUCUGUCUCGCUUAGGUGUUCUGAUGUAAUGGACAGCAAGUGAAGUUCUGCCCACUGAAAAAGGUGGUCGAUUUCCUCCAUCAGUGCUUAUAAUCUCAUGCCCCCCUAGCAGCUGAUGUGAGCCUUCAUGGUGGUGAUGUCCAUCCUGAGGAGCACAUGCCGUCCCUGAAGAAGAUGUUGGAAUUCUAACAGGGCAAGUCUUGCUGCUUUGAGUUCCAAGUAGUUUAUGUUCCUGUUUGCGUCUACCUGUGACCAUGAGCCCUGGGCCAGAAUGCCUAGGCAGGGAGUGCCCCAUCCCUUCAAACUGGCAUCUGUGUUCACUGUGACCAUUGUGGAAUGAUUAGUGGUAGGCCUUUGCUCAUAGCCAGAGACAUCCACCAUUCGAAGGACCUGCGUACCUUCUUGGGAAGAGCAAGUUUUGGGCACUAUAGUAAUGUAAUGUAAUGUAAUGUAAUGUAAUGUAAUGUAAUGAAUAAAUAAAAUAAACCUGUUUGUGCGUACCUGCCAUAAUGUUGUCUUGACGUGGCAAGAGGAGCCACUGUAUAGGGCGGGAGUGCCACAUGGACAAGGGUGGGCAUUCCAUGCACACUACCAUGGAUCCCAACACUUGUGAGAGGAGCAUGAGGUCUGCAGUAUGGGAUCAUAGGAGUGGUUGAAGAAGAGACAUGAGUUUGUUCCUCCAUUCCUCGGUUAGGGAGACAGAGUCCUGGGCUGUGUUGAAUACUCCCCACCAGGUGUUGAAGCAUCUGGACAGGUGUCAGGUGGCUUUUUCCUUUGUUCACUAUAAAACCAUGGUCUCUGAGGCACUGAAGUGAGUGGUGAACUGCUCUCUUGGCUUGUUGGAGAGAAGGAGCUCGGAUGAGGUCGAAGUAUGAAUAAAUAUGCGCCCCUUGAAGGUGUAGGUAUACCUUGGCGCUGAUGAUAGGCCGAUGGGGAGGGCCCUGUAUUGAAAAUGUUGCAGAUUGCAGACAAAGCGUAGGUACCUCCUGUACGAGGGGCAGAUGGACACAUGGAGGUACACUUUGGAUAGAUAAACUGAUGCCAGAAAGUCAUGAGGUCGGGUGGCCUCCUUGAUGGAGUGGAGGGAUUCCACCCUGAAUUUUUUCUUCCUGAUAAACUUGUUCAGGCGUUUAGGUCCAGGACCACCCUCCAGGAUCCAUCUUUUUUCAGGACCAGAAAUAACAGUGAGUAGAUGCUGGAACAUUCUUCUGUGGAGUGUAUCUGCUCAAUUGCCUGAAUCUGAAGAAGAUGAUUUAUGGCCUCGUUCAUCAGUUGAUGUUUGGACACUCUGGCGGAUCGAGGAGUGACCAUGAAGGAGUCCAAUGAGGUGGUCAUGAAGUUUAUGGUGUAACCGAGGGUGAUUAUGUCUAUCACCCAUUGGUCUUGGGUUGUAGACAUCCAGGUGGGGAUGAAAAGGUGUAGUCUGCCCCCAACCUGACUGGUGUCAUUGCUUUCUGUUCUGUUGGAAGUUAGAUGAAGGUCCUUGGAAGCUUUGGGACCUGCCGUGGCCUCUGAAGUGCUGCCUCCACUGAGGUUGUCCUGUACCUCUGAAACUGGAUGUGCAGAAUUCCGAGGGAAGGAGCCUUGGUAUUCCCUGAAAGGGCAAAAGGAAGAGGAGAACAUCAAAGACUAUGAAGGGUUGCAAAACGGUUUGCCCUGUGCGUCAAAGAUUGUGAACCUCUUGAGGACAGGGACCCAUCUUCUCGUUAUUCUUUUUCACUAUAAAGUGCUUUGAGAACUUUUUCACUGAAAAGCGGUGUGCAUUAAGAAAAGGAUUUAUAGGACUCGGGAGGCAAUGGCACCAUUCUCAUUAGCUCUGGUUAGGACUCAUCACCACAUUUUAAAGAAGAAAGACAAAUAUGAUAAAACACCUAGGUAUUGCAAUAAGAUUUGAAAUCAGUGUCAAAUGAGGACAAGAUUGAGUCAAUGGAAAAGCUUUAUGUAAGGACCAAUUCUGAUAUAAAGUUGCUCUUCAGUGAAGAUGUGCCUAUGGAGGAAUACAGAGGAAAAAUAUGUUAAAAGAUCAGAACAUAAUCAAUGUAGGCUGGGCAGGAAAGAUCCACAAGCAGGAACUGGCAAGAAUCUCGCUCCUGACUCUCAGAAGUAUGAUGUGUCCUCUAAUCCAAAACUGUUCACAGGUAUUCUUCCACAGACGUUAUUCCUUGGAGAAAAAACCACUCCGUCAUUAAUCUGGAAGACCCUACAGUUGAAAUCUGAGUAGUACUGCAGUUGCCAUCACACCUGAAUGUCCUAAGCACAGUUCUCCCCAAGUUGUUCAGACUUGACUCACAUUCAGCUGGCAUACAUUUUGUUAUGUUUGCACAGGUUUGUAUUAUUUGAAAAACGAGUGUUCUACCCAUCAAGAAGAGAGUAAUGGCUUCAGGCCAUUACUGAGUUCUGCUCUGAGAACUAAUACUCAGCCCCUUAGCAUGGCAUGAAAGGGCUUUGUUAAUUGGUGGCAAUUCAUAUAUCCCUAUCCCACACCCAACAGUUACUAUUAUGAGAAGUGCAAUAUUGUCCAUAAGGACACUCUACACAGCACUAUUCUGAGGCCUAUUUUCCUACAUUCUCUUUUUGAUUGAUGUCCUCCCCACAAUAAUGGAUGCUUACUUUUCUUAUAAACCAGUUUCCCAGGAAGGUGUAAACUAGUUUCUCAAGGAAGAAUAAUGUAAAAGUAAAACAAGAAUAAUCUGCUCGUAUGCAGCUGAAAUCAAGUCUUGAAAUUCCUAUUUGUGCAAGAGCAUUACCCUGCUAACUGAGCAAAGAGGCACCUUUUUAAAGUGGUGAUACUCUUUAUUUAGCAGGAGGAGAGCAACUGGCCCCGUCCAUCACCCGCACAGCAUCUCUCCAGUGGUUGCUGCUUGUGUCUAUUUCAUGUUUCUUUUUUAGAUUGUGGGCCCUUUGGGGACAUGGAGCCAUUUUAUUUAUGUAUCUAUGUAAACCACUUUAAGAACUUUUGUUGAAAAAUAGUACAUAAAUAUUCGGCGCAUUCAUCGCA